UUAUGGUUAAAUCAGCAAGAAUAAAAAUGCAGCAAAAAUGACACCAAGAUUUUACGCGGAAACCCUUUUGAAUAAGGGAAAAAAUCACGGCCAAGAAGUGCAACUGAUAUCACUGUAGCGAAGAAUUUUACACUGUGUAGUAACAAGUACAAAUACUCCUAAGACCACUACACCCUCAAAAGAAAAAAUACUCUUUUGCUUUUUCCACCUCACUACAAUAUCUCUCACACUCUAUUUUUCUUCACAGACUAUUUUCUUAUAGUCUAUGGAAUACUUUGCUCUCUAUCUUUCACUCAGAUGUCACGCCUACUACAUUUUACAUUUUUCUCUCUUGCAGAUUUGCUAUGCCUACCAAUCUUGACGUUUUUUCUUAUGCAACCUACCAUAUUUGAUAGUGCAAAAGAAAAGAUGGUGGCUUCCAAUCAAAGGAAGAAAAUUAUCUUCCUUGAUUUAUGGGAUGGACCCCACAUCAUUCAGUGCCAUUUGAUUGGUUUUCCUCUAUUGUACUUCUUUCUUCAUUUUAUUUUUCUAUGAUGUCGUCUCAUCUCUACCCUGUAAAAUGGUAAGGUUCCUCGUAGCCUUCAAUAACCCGUCUCGAAGAUGUAAAGAUGAAUGGCUGAAUUUGACAACCUUAAAUAAUGUUAUUUGCUCCAGAGCGAUCUUGAGGAACUUUUUAGUAAAAAGUUAAUCCAUUUUGAAGCAUUAUGCUUAACUUUGAAGUCUUAUUUAGUUUAGUUCAUUUGAUUUGUUAUUUUCUUUCAAAUUCAUCUUUUCUCCUCUUUUUCUCUAUUUGGAUUUUUUGAGCAUCUGUUUUUGUAAUUUUGCAGAACUCAUGCAGAUAGAAUACUGUGAAACUGCCUUCAUUCAUCUUCUAGGGCCGUUACAGUUUUUAAAAAUCUUCUUUUGCUAGGCAGUUUAUUUCCCAACUGGUUAUAGAAACUUCUGCACCAGAAAAAAGUUUGAGCCUGAAUACCAUUGUGAUGCUUCUAAGUAAUGCCUUUUGGAUACAUCCAGUAAUUUAUGGUUUGAAACUAUUAACAUACUCAGGGCUUGUAUACUCUUAAUGGAAAUAACUUAUGAUCUUCUCUUGCUUGUAUUCGACAUAUAUUACUAUUCUCCCAAUGAUGCUUUUUAUCUUGCAUGUUGCUAAUUCUUUUAUUCCUAGCUAUUGACACCAGGUAACUAUAACAUGGCUAUCUUAGACACAAAAAAAAUGGUAGCAGCUGAGGUUAGUAUAAUGGGUGUGUUGAAUCUUAUUGUCCAACAAUAUAGAGAUAUUUCAGUCCUUGAUAUUCUUGACUUAUUUGCGGUAAACUUCAAAAUGUUUCAAGAAACUUGACAAAUUUCCUUCUACUUUGUUCCCAGUAUCGUAAUAAUGAAACUUGUAAAAUGGCGUAAAAUGGUAACAUUAGCGUUUCUUGGUGCAGUAGAAAUUUAUGUUCUGCCCGGCCAGUUUCGUCUUUAAAUAAAUUUGUCUCUAGAGAUAUUGUUUGUUUUUAUUCAUUGUUUUAGCUUGAUCUCAAAGUAAAAGCUCUUGGCAGGUGGAUCAUUAUGGAUUAGAUUCUUGGUUACUUGUGACCAAAAGAGUUUCUAUGCUACUGUUUGGGAUAUUUUUUUAACUUAACAAUUAAUGAAACUAGAAGCAUCUCACUUGGAUUAGCAAUAACAUAAGGCCUUCAUGUUUUUGUAUUUCGUCAUUAGAAAAUAUCUGCUAACUUCGUGGUAUAACAAUAUAAAUAUAUUUUUUUAUGCUGGGAAGCAAAGUAUUUAUAUAUUCUAAAACUUAACUGAUUUUUCCUAUUGAUAACCAUAUCUGGAACUUACUAUUGGAUAUGUAGGUGAUUUUUCACUUUAAUUUGUAGUUCAGUAAAUUCAUUUUAUGUUUAGUUUGAUUAAUAGUUCAUGCUUUAAAGCUCUUUGGAGAUGACUGACGCCUUAUGCUUUUAAGUUCUACUAUUUGAUGUAGUAGCAUCUUUAGGUCUUCCCAAUGGAACAAGAAGUACAAUGAAGCUACACCUAUGCCCAAUGGAGAAGUCAUACAUUUGUUGUUGCAAAUUUAUGCAAAAUAUGUUCUUAUUUUACAUAUCAAUCUCCAAAAAUAACUUAGAAUUGAAUCAUUUCCAAUGACUAGGAAACAUCAGAUGUUAAAUUCUAUAUUAUGGUCACAUAAGUGCCUCAAUUGCAAGGCCUGCAACUGAAGACAGACAAGAGUAAUCCAAAAUUCAUGCUCAUUUAGAAUUGAGGAAAUGUUCUCAUGAGGUUCUUAGUAGAAACAUAAUUCAGUUUUACUCUGUUGUUGUGAAAUGUCAAGCGUGAAACUUGUCGUAGACGUUCAACACUACAUCAUCCAGAAUAUGUUUUCUCCCCCUCUAAUAUUUAUCGCCAGGAAGCACAAGGAAGUGCAUCAGUACAAAGAAUUGGACGAAGACCUAGAUAGCCAUACCAUUUAGUAGUAUUUUGUUGGGUUUACGGAAAGGGAAUGUAGUUGACUGUAUUAAGAUGUGUUAUGUUCACAUUUUUUUGCAUAAAGAAUUAUUUGAGCUCUUUGAAAGUAGAGCUUGUUUUC
Molecule: non-coding RNA, 2566 nt
Organism: Nicotiana tabacum (common tobacco)
Lineage: Eukaryota; Viridiplantae; Streptophyta; Magnoliopsida; Solanales; Solanaceae
Source: RefSeq, a predicted model, not a curated record